CACAUUUAAUUGAGCCCGUCAAAUUAAGUGCCAGCCGACGCGGUUAAACUUAAGGGCUGGUCUUUAUAAGUAAAAAGGCGUAAAGGAUGUGUAGGCUAAGAAACGAUCCAAGUAGGUAAAUGGAAUUUUUCUGGAGCGGUAGAAUGUGAGGAUAGAAAAUAGAACCCCUAAGGUAAAAACUAUUUACUACAAGGUAGGCUGAAACAUGAGAGUGUGGGGAGCAAACAGGAUUAGAGACCCUGGUAGUCCACACUGUGAACUUUGAAGAUGAUGCUUAGCAGACCCGAAAGGUAAAAUCUUCCGCCUGAGUAGUACGAUCGCAAGAUUAAAAUUCAAAAACUUUGGCUGUUCACUAUUUCGAUUAGAGGAGCGUGUAGUUUAAUUCGAUGGUCCGCGUGUUACCUUACCCCAACUUGAAUCUAUGACCGGUAUUGCAUGGCCGUCGUAAGUUCGUGUAUUAAGCUAGAAGGGACCCAACCCGGGCAUUUGCCCGGAGGAAGUCAGGUCUUAUGAUCCGAAUGUUGGGGGAUUUUAUGCGCUACAUUUUCUUAUAUAAUGAGAAACCUGGAAGG
RNAcentral lists this ribosomal RNA (572 nucleotides) under Bunodosoma granuliferum. Its description in RNAcentral is "partial 12S ribosomal RNA". It matches the Rfam family "Bacterial small subunit ribosomal RNA", at positions 478 to 1258 of the family's 1533-position model. Lineage: Eukaryota; Metazoa; Cnidaria; Anthozoa; Actiniaria; Actiniidae. The record is from RNAcentral.